AACGGACGCUGGCGGCAGGCCUAACACAUGCAAGUCGAACGAGAAGCCACCUUCGGGUGGUGGAAAGUGGCAGACGGGUGAGUAACGCGUGGGAACGUGCCUUUCGGUUCGGGAUAACCCAGGGAAACUUGGGCUAAUACCGGAUACGCCCUUCGGGGAAAGAUUCAUCGCCGAAAGAUCGGCCCGCGUCGGAUUAGCUA
RNAcentral lists this ribosomal RNA (200 nucleotides) under uncultured bacterium. RNAcentral describes it as "partial 16S ribosomal RNA". It matches the Rfam family "Bacterial small subunit ribosomal RNA", at positions 29 to 247 of the family's 1533-position model. The record is from RNAcentral.